Molecule: ribosomal RNA, 447 nt
Filed under: uncultured bacterium
Lineage: Bacteria
Description: bacterial SSU rRNA
Rfam family: Bacterial small subunit ribosomal RNA
Source: RNAcentral
AACGAACGCUGGCGGCACGCCUAACACAUGCAAGUCGAACGAAGCGUAAGAGCUUGCUCUUACGACUGAGUGGCAAACGGGUGAGUAACGCGUGGGAAUCUACCUAUUGGUGGGGGACAACUGUUGGAAACGACAGCUAAUACCGCAUAAGCCCUCAGGGGGAAGAGCAAUCCGCCAAUAGAUGAGCCCGCGUUAGAUUAGGUAGUUGGUGGGGUAAAGGCCUACCAAGCCUAUGAUCUAUAGCUGGUCUGAGAGGAUGGUCAGCCACACUGGGACUGAGACACGGCCCAGACUCCUACGGGAGGCAGCAGUGGGGAAUAUUGGACAAUGGGGGAAACCCUGAUCCAGCGAUGCCGCGUGAGUGAAGAAGGCCUUAGGGUUGUAAAGCUCUUUUAGUAGGGAAGAUUAUGACGGUACCUACAGAAAAAGCAACCGGCUAACUCUGUG